UCCCACGACCCUCCCACGGGGAAUACAUUGGUUUUCUUCCGAUCACCGAAAUUAAGCAGCUUCGGGCGCGGUUAUAUUUAGAUGGGGGACCGCUUGGAACCACCGCGUGUUGUUGGCC
RNAcentral lists this ribosomal RNA (118 nucleotides) under Drosophila simulans. Lineage: Eukaryota; Metazoa; Arthropoda; Insecta; Diptera; Drosophilidae. The record is from RNAcentral.